RNAcentral lists this ribosomal RNA (380 nucleotides) under Blastocystis sp. subtype 1. RNAcentral describes it as "SSU rRNA". It matches the Rfam family "Eukaryotic small subunit ribosomal RNA", at positions 664 to 1046 of the family's 1831-position model. The record is from RNAcentral. Lineage: Eukaryota; Bigyra; Opalinata; Blastocystidae.
AUGCUCGAUCCGGUCUCUCGCCUGUAAGUCACCCCCUUCCAGUAUCCAGUAGUGGGUAUUCAGUUACUUACUAUUGUGUGUUGGUCAUUUACUGUGAGAAAAUUAGAGUGUUCAAAGCAGGCGUUUGCUUGAAUAGAUUAGCAUGGAAUAAUAAUUGAAGGCUUUCGUGUUCGAUUUGAUUGGUUUGUUCAUGGAAGCAAGGUUAAAAGGAACAGUUGGGGGUAUUCAUAUUCACUAGUUAGAGGUGAAAUUCUCGGAUUUAUGGAAGAUGAACAAGUGCGAAAGCAUUUACCAAGGAUGUUUUCAUUAAUCAAGAACGAAAGCUAGGGGAUCGAAGAGGAUUAGAUACCCUCGUAGUCUUAGCUAUAAACGAUACCGAC